This 34894-nucleotide long non-coding RNA is filed under the name Populus trichocarpa (black cottonwood). Its description in RNAcentral is "long non-coding RNA (PTRI_LNC003375)". The record is from RNAcentral. Lineage: Eukaryota; Viridiplantae; Streptophyta; Magnoliopsida; Malpighiales; Salicaceae.
CAUAUGCAUCAGCGGCAUACCUGAACAAUCAGACAAGAAAUUCAAAUGAGUCAGAUCAGUUUGGAAAAACCAUCAAUGCAAAUAGCUAUAGGAGACAGCGAACUGAACAGAAAUUUCCCUACUUUCCAACACCAGGCAGAAAGGUGACAUGGGUCCAGUACUCUUGCAAGUAAAUCUCAGAAAGGCGUUUUAUCUUCUCAGCCCUCGUGUUUUUGAAACCUAAACUGCGUGUUAGCUGGGCAAUCUCGUUCUGGUCAACAUUAGUGGUGGUCUUUGCAUCAGGACAUAGGGUGAAGAAGUCGUUUAAAAUUGGUCUGACCUGCAAUGAGAAAUUUCUUUGGGAUUAUGUUUUUUCUAUGCUGAUUUCCAUUAAUAAAAACAAGUAAGGAUCUUACCUGGCCACCCGAUGUGCAGUUUAAUAGCAUACAAAUGACGAGAACUCUCCAAGGGUCAUGGUAAUGAUUCUCUUGAAGAAGCUCGUGAGGAGAUUUGGGCGGAAUCCAACGGUUGUUGGGUCGUCUCCUGAGGUAUGCCACAUCACGCAUUUGAGCAGCAGUGAGCCUGGGCGAUCUCUUCCUCUUCUUCUUCUGAGCUUCUUCUUCCCUUUCGACUUUCUUGAUGGAAGGUCGAGUGGAGGAGGCGGAGGAGGAAGCUUGCCCUGUCCCCCCUGAACAACCUGUAAACGCGAAUUCAGAAAACAACCCCAUCACACUAGCACUGACUUCUACCGGCCGUCCAUGACCACCUCCUGCUUUGCCAUCACACUCGAAAUCCUUCUUUUUCUUCUUACUUUCCCUUCUUCUCUUCUUUUCUGCCCCACCCUCCAUUAAGAGAUGUGUAACUGUUAUUCGGUAGUUGAAAAAAGAAUUAAAAAAAAUAAUAUGAAAAGGGUUUUAUAAACGAGCUUGAAGAAGAUUGACUUCAUGCUGAGAAGCCUAUAAACGAGGCUUUUAUAUCUGAAAUUAAGAUGCGUUGAGCAUAUGACUCUAAAUAUGAAAAGGGUAAGGCUAAGAGUUCCAAAUAUGGCAAGAAAGGAAUAGAAACAAGUAAUAGUGGACAUAGAACUAGCUUGGCAGUGUGGUUGCGGUUGCUUUUCAAAUAACUUUUCGUGCCGAAAUACAUGCCAAAGAUGUUUUUUCAUUUUUUAAAAAUUAUUUUUGACAUCAUCAAAACGAUCUAAAACAUACAAAACAUAUUAAAUUUUAGCAAAAUUUUUUUUUUAAUUUUACAGUAAGAAAGGAAAUAAUAUGAAUUGUUUCAAUUGUGAUAACCCUGGUCACUUUGCUCAUUGUCAUAACCCAUUUUUUGGUUAUUCCCCAAUUCACAUUUUUUUCUCUCUUAAAAAAAUAAAAUACAAAAAAAUCAAAAAAAUAUUAUAAAAAAAUAUAACAGGAUGUCGAAGCGCCCUAAAGAUGAUUAAAAAUUGGUUGAGGAGGUUAAAAAAUACAAAGAUUGAAAUUUGACGGUAUUUUGUUGACUGAUGAGAGACCUGUUGACAAAGAAAAUUCAAUUUGAAGAAGAAAAGUCAAAGAUCAGAUGUUUAUGGACUCAAUUAAAUUUUAUUGAAGGUUUAAUUGAAUUUAUGGAGGGUUUGAUUGCAAGAAAAACUGAUUUUGAUGUCAAAUUAUAAUUUUUGAGAGUUAAUUUGGUCAAAUCAGGGGCUUAAUUGCAUAAAUAUUGAAGUUUGAUGGUCAAUAGGGACUUAAUUGAAGAAAUCCAAAACCAAGGACCAAAAUGAAAAACACGCGUAAAUAGAGGGGCUGCAAUUAAACCAAAUCAAGGGCCAAAUUGAAGAAAUUAGAAGUUUAUUGAUCAAUUGAGGGUCAAAUUGCAUAAAUUCAAGAUCAAGGAUCAAAGUGAAAAAGGCGGCCAACUUCAGGGCCGCUGUUUGCUUUUUGGCAGGGAUGCAAUUGCAUUGAUUUUUAAAUCAAAAUGGCAAUUGAGGACUCAAUUGAACAAAUCACAAAUUGAAGACCAAUGUGAACUCUGACAUGUUUUUUUUGUCGCCUUUUCCUUUUAAAUAAAAUGACGUGUUUUGUCCAAAACGGCACCGUUUCAUACACUGUUCAUUAAAAAAAGAGGAAAACCCAAAACGGUGCCGUUUUGAACGGCAAUGUAGCCUUUCUUCUUCCCCUGGACACGCGAGGCAGGGGAAGAAGAAGAUUUUUCUCCCUUGCUUUGUUCAUUCCCUCUUUCUCCAAAACCACCAAAAAGACGCCGACCCGAAAUACCCCACUUGCCUAAGUUUUGACCUGUGGCCUUCCACGGGGUAAAGAAAAACAGAAAGGAUGCAUCCCCCUGGGCGGUUGCACAUUGGCCGCCCUUGCCUUUCUCUCCCCUCUGUUUUACCUAUAAAUACAGAGGGAGGGGAGCACAAGAGAGUAGAUGAGAGGGUGAAAAGACCGAAAGAAAGAAACAAAAUAAGACCCGAAGAGGAAGAAAGAAAGGAAGAACAGGAGAAGGAAAAAAAGAAGAAAAAACAGAGAGAAAACAGGGGAAGACAAAGGGGGAAGAAACCGUCGACCACCACCGACAGCAGCGCCGCCUGGAACCACCGCCACCAACGAGCACCACCGUGAACCUCCACAGCAGCCACCGCAGAUCAGUUCCCCCACCUCUCUCUUCUUCCUUCUUCCCCUUCUCUGCUCCGUGUCCUUUUGCUUUCAUUUGCAUGCAGAACGUGAGCAAUUCACGUUCUGCAGCAAAUGAAAAUAAUUAGCUGGUUACUGUGCUAUGCACAAUAACAAGCUAAUUAUAAUUUUUUGGGUCGGUGCUGGCCCAUUCUAAAAAACAACAUUAGUGAUUUUCUUGUGUUUUUUUAAUUUAUCCAUUUUGGUUAAUAUUAAUUUAUAUUUUACAUCGCAAAAAUACAAAUCCGGUAUUAAAAUACCCGGUUUUCAUCAACUUAAAAAAAAUUGAAAAAAUAUUUUUGUGCAUACGGCCAAGUGUCUCAAAGCUUAAAAGUCAUAUUGUGUUUUUCAUACACCAAAAAAAAUGUUUUAGCAUGCAUUUUGGCUUUCAUAACCAGUUUAUUAAAGUCAAGAGAACAUUGACCAAAAUAUCAAAAACAAAAAAAAAAAUUAUUUUGUGUUGUUUUAGUAUCAGGGAUUACAAAUUUAUACGUAAAAUGUAUUCUCGAUAUUAAAAAGAUAUUUUCUUUUGACAACAUACAACAAUUAGGUUUUUACCCGAUAAAAUAAGAAUUUCCUUAUAGAGGAGGACUUUUUUUAAACCGUAGACAAAUCGACAAUUAGAAACCACAACAAGACUUUAGAUUUUAUCAGACAACAAAACAAUGCAGCUUACCUUAGGUAGGGCGUAGUUGGGAUGCUAAUGCCUUCCUUUUACGCAACCAGUCUCCGUACCCGAUCUUUGAGACCAGUUAGGGUUCCUAGUGACCAGAAUACUAGGUGGCGACUCCCAUUGAAAUUUUCUACUGAUAGGAGACAAGAAUUCCUUAUUUUCACUUUUGCCAGAUAGACUUAUACAUUUUCCUUGAGAGGAUGGACAAUCAUCGCGACGCCGCACACGUGCGACACUCGUGAUUGCACUGAGCCAAAGGUAAUGUCUAACCACAAUCAUCCCUCUAACUUGUAUGUUAGCAGUUGUUUAAUGCUUGCUGAAUCUGUUUCUUUAUGGACUGUAGACUUAGGAGUAACUGACCAUAUAACAAGGGAUUAAACAACCUUUGUGGAAUUUCGUCGAAUUCCAAAGGAAAGUAGAUACAUGUACAUGAGGAAUAAUGCUUCUGCUGCUAUGCUUAGGAUCAGUACCUGCAAACUAGAUUUGCGGGACGAUCACACACUUUAUUUUCAUAAUGUACUCUACGCUUCAAAAGUUGAAAGAAAUCACUUUUUUUUUUUUGCUGAUUGAGCCAGUCAGCCAUAUAUCUUUUAGUGCUCGGAUCACAUUUCAUAUACGAUAAGAGGAACCUAAUGUUUUUCUAUAUGGUGCUUUUGACAUUGGGGUCAGUUAAAAAAAAAUAGCCUUGAUUAAAGAAACAUUAACGUCUACUAGUAAAGUCUUAAUUAAUGACUUUUCAUGAAACUUCGGCUCUAUUAGUGAAGGGGUCAUUUUUUGUUUUGUGGAAAGUUUCAGCAUUUCAUGUAAAAGUAGGGAUUGACUUUGUUAUCCAUGAGAUGAGAUGAGAUGAUUUGGGAAGCCAUCAUCCCAUUACGUAUGUAUACACAUGGAUGUAUGGUGCAUGCAGGGUCCAUGCAUGAAUGUGAGUGUAUUCUUAUGCAUGAGAGUUGCCAAUGCAGCUUUUGAAUGUUUGAAAUGGACUCCAGUUUCUGAUUUGUAACGCGACAUGGACUACUGUACGGUUAUUGGAAACAAAAAGAUGCUUUCAGCCAUUUACGGUGGCUGCUGGUUAUCAUGUGGUUGUAUUUAGCUUAGUAAAAUAUCUACUAGUACUAGGCAUAUAUAGAUUAGUGCGCUUCUGGAAAUUCAUUGAUGAAACCUUGGGCCCUUGCUUGAUAAUAGGUAACAGCAACUCCUGCAGAUGAAUUGGCUCGCCCAUUAUAUAUGGCAACUUAAAAGAACCCACCCCAUUUACGGAGGCGCAACAACAAAACCAGCAGAAUCAGCAGCAAAUAUUGGAAGACAUAGUCCAGCAAUUAAGAAACAUGUCUACCAGGAUGGAUCAGAUGGCUAAGGCCCAAGGGAAAAGGCCCAUGGGCUCCCCUCCUCAUUCUCCCACCAGGACAGACAAUGGAAUUACCAGGCAUGAAGUAGUACCACAGGAAGGAUUUCAGCAGGUUCAGCUCAAGUCAAUCAGGUUAGAGUUCCCCCGGUUCAAUGGAGAUGAUCCUAUUGGUUGGGUGUACAAAGCCAAUCAAUUCUUUAACUUUCACAAUACUCCAGCCCAACACAGAUUGUUUAUAGCCAGUUUUCACAUGGAAGGAAAGGCCAUAACAUGGUAUCUGGAACUAGAAGAAACUGGAAUUCUCACCAGUUGGGAGGCCUUCAUUAAAGCCCUCCAAAUUCGUUUUGGAACCUCAUCUUACGAUGACCCCAUGGAGGCCCUCAUAAGUAUCAAACAGGUCUCAACAGUAGAGCUCUACAAAACCCAAUUCGAGAUGCUUUCGAACCGGGUCAGGGGGCUGUCUGACUCUCACAGGCUCAGCUGCUUCCUAGGUGGAUUAAAAGAGGAGAUAAGAAUGGGAGUACGAAUGCUAAACCCUCAGAACCUAGUGGCUGCCUACGAAUUAGCAAGGAUGCAGGAGGAAAAUCUGACAAUCAUGAGGAAAUCAUGGAGACCUAGUGCCAUGGGGUUUCAAGGCCGAAACCCCACGCUAACUCAGCCCAGGGCUGAAAACAAACCAAUUCCAGUACAAAGACUCACCCCUGCACAGAUGAAGGAAAAAAGAGACAAGGGGCUUUGCUUUAAAUGUGAUGCCUCAGGAAUAGGACUCGGAGCUGUGCUAAUGCAAGAGGGCCGACCCAUCUCCUAUUUCAGCAAGAGUCUAAAGGGGAGGGAAUUAUCACUAUCCACUUAUGAGAAGGAAUUCUUGGCACUAGUUACUGCUGUUCAGAAGUGGAGGCCUUACUUAUUGGGCCAAGCCUUUAAAGUUAAGACAGACCAACAGAGUCUCAAGUAUUUAUUGGAGCAGCGGGUUGGGACACCCACACAGCAGAAAUGGUUGUCCAAAUUAAUUGGAUAUGACUUUGUGGUCGAAUUUCGAGCAGGAAGGGAAAACCUAGUAGCUGAUGCACUCUCUAGACAGGAGGAUACUACAGAAAAAGGUACACUAUGGGCUAUCUCUACCCCGAUUGUUAACUGGGCUGACCGAUUGAGGGAUAGUUAUAAAACUGAUCCAGAAAUUCAAACUAUCAUGCAACAACUAGACCAAGAGACUAUAGGUUCCUUGAAAUAUCGUCUUAGGGGAGGGAUACUAUACUACAAACACAGAGUCUACAUAAGCCAAUCCAGCCCUAUAAAAAAUGAUAUACUGAAUUAUAUUCAUGACAGUCCAACCUCAGGGCACACAGGGUUUGAGAGAACACUAAAAAGGGCAAGGAGAGAUUUCUUUUGGGUAGGGAUGAAAUCAGACAUACAAAAUUAUAUAAAACACUGUGAUGUCUAUCAAAGAGCAAAAGGAGAAAACACAAAACCCUCCGGGCUCCUACAGCCCUUGCCUAUACCCACCAGACCAUGGUCAUCCAUAUCUAUGGAUUUUAUAGAAGGGCUCCUUAAAUCUAAUCAGUACUCAGUAAUUAUGGUAGUUGUGGAUAGGCUUACCAAAUAUGCCCAUUUUAUUCCCGUAUCCCACCCCUACAGCGCGACAAAAAUCGCCAACCUGUUUUCACAAAAUGUGGUGAAGCUGCAUGGGCUCCCAAACAACAUAGUAUCCGAUCGGGAUCCUACCUUCACUAGCAAGUUUUUGGGGGAAUUAUUCCAAAUUCAAGGGGUCAAGCUACUGAUGUCCACAGCCUACCACCCCCAAACCAACGGGCAGACCGAGGCCACCAACAAAACACUGGAAGGGUAUUUGAGAUGCUAUGUAGGUGAUAACCCGAAAGAGUGGUCCAAUUGGCUAACCAUGGCUGAAUACUGUUACAAUACCAGCUACCACUCAUCCCUCAAAUCUACCCCGUUUGAAGCAACCUACGGCUACCCGCCCCCAAGUCUCACAGAUUACAUCCCCGGUUCAACCAAAAAUCAAGCAACAGAAGAACAUUUACAACACAGAACAUAGCAAAUUGCAGAAAUCAAACACAACUUAUCUCAAGCUCAGGCGAGACAGAAGAAACAAGCAGACAAAGGCAGAAAAGAAAUCCAGUUCUCAGAAGGGGAAUGGGUUUACCUCCGGCUCCAGCCAUACCGACAGUCCAGCAUGCAAAGGAAAAAAAAUGUGAAGUUAGCUUAUAAAUAUUUCGGGCCGUUCCAAAUCUUAAAAAAAGUGGGAGAAGUGGCUUACCAGCUAGAUCUUCCCAAGGAAGCCCGGAUCCAUAUCACCUUCCACGUCUCACUGUUGAAGAAAUGGGUUGGAAAGGGAAUCGUUCCUGAACCGAAGCUACCCAGUCUCGAAACCAAGCUGAAAUCUCAGCCAGAACCAGCAGAGAUAAUUGACCGAAGGAGCCAAGUCUCGAGGGGGAAGAAGAAGGAAGAGUUGCUGUUAAGAUGGGAAGGACAGCCCAAAGAAGACGCCGUUUGGGUCGAUGAAGAGUGGUUAGAAGGUUCCUACCCUCACCUUGAGGGCAAGGUUUUUUAAGGGGGAGAGAGUUGUAACAGUCCCGGCAGCGCCUAAAGGAGCAAGAUCAAGUUGAGGCCCGGGGAAGAAAUGAAGGAGGCGUAUGGGAGAAGACUUACCUGCAGCAAAGAAAGAAAGUGAGCAAGUGUAGGGUCAAGAUUAGACAAGAAGAACUUACGUGGAUGGCUGAGAUUAUGAACUCCUGCAGCUGACAGCUGGCAAAGGAGUAAAUCCCAAAUGCAAAACGGCACAGUUUGAGAGAAGAAAAGGAGUCCAAAUACGGCACAGUUUGGGAGAAGGAAAAAAGAGUCCAAAUACAACACUGAUAAAUAAAACAGCUGUCAAUUCUAUCUAUUAUCUUGUUAUUUCAAUUAACCGAGAGUUACAAUAAAAGGGAGAGGGAGGAGCAGCAGAAAGGCAGGAAAAUUGCUUUGAAGCAAAUCUCAUUCACCCAGGAGGCCCGGGCUACCUCAAAGCUGCCCAGAAAUCUAGAUUAGGGUUUAUCAAAAUUGCAUCGUUCUUUCAAUUCAAGUCUUUAAGAUAUUUCGUUUCAGUUGUUAUUUUAGUUUCCUCAAUUUCUUUUUGUUAAAACCUGUAAGGCUCAGGUCCAAGAAAAGCUAUAAUAAAAGUAAAAGAAAAAUUCCAGACAUUCUCCCUUACUUAUCAAGAUCAUUACAGUUUUGUUCUAGCAUGAAAGACAAGGUUAGAAGAUAGUGCCAAAGUAGUAAUAUUGUCAACCCAAAUGUAAGGUGUUGUAAGUAGAGAUAUAUGAAGUUCUUUGAGUAACAUUCUUAACCAGUAAAGUUCAGCUACUGUGUGUGUCAUUGAUCGAUAUUCAGCUUUGGUGCUUGAUCUUGCCACCACGGAUUAUUUCUUAGAAGUCCAAGAAAUCAGACAUGAGCCUAGAUAAAUGCAAUAUCCUGAGGUAUAUUUCUGAUCAUCUGGAUUACCAGCCCAAUCAGAGUCACAAAAACCAUUGAGUUGAAGUGAUCCCUUGUUAAACUGAAGACCAAACUGUAGUGUACCUUUGAGAUAUCUUAAAACCCUUUUGGCAACUGUAAGAUGAAUAUUUGUAGGAAAAUGAAGAAAUUGACAUAAUUGAUUGACACUGUAGGAUAUAUUAGGUCUGGUCAAUGUCAAAUACUGAAGAGCUCCCACCAUGCUUCUAUAUGCAGUAGGAUCAAUAAGAGGAUCACCUGAGAAUUUUGAGAGUUUGGCACCUGAUAUGCAUGGCGUUGGUGUAGGUUUCGCAUCAGUCAUUUUCAUGUGAUGUAGAAGAUCAAAAACAUAUUUUCCUUGGUGUAGAUGCAAGCCAUUUUCUGUCUUAGUUACAUGAAUGCCUAAGAAAUAAGAUAGUUCCCCAAGAUACUUGAUAGCAAAUUCAAAGCCGAGGUUAGAAAUAAGAGUAUCAAUGGCAGUAUCAGCAUUACUAACGACAAUAAUGUCAUCAACAUUUAUGAGCACAAAAAUACACAUGUUGCUAUGAUGGAAAGUAAAUAAAUAAGUAUCCACAGUUGAGGUAGUGAAUCCAAGUUCCAAGAGAGCCUAAGAUAGCCUUAAAAACCAAGUUCUAGGGGCCUGUUUGAGGCCAUAUAUUGAUUUAUGCAAGAGGCAUACAUGAUCAGGUAAAUUUGAGUCUUCAAAACCUUAAGGUUGCUCUAUAUACACCUCCUUUUCAAGAUACCCAUGGAGAAAAGCAUUAGAAAUAUCAAGUUGUCUAAUAGACCAAUUAUAAUGAACAGACAAAACAAGGGCUAACCGAAUAGUAGCAAGUUUAAUAACUGGACUAAAGGUCUCAGUAAAGUCAAGACCAUCAACUUGAUCAAAUCCCUUUGCCACCAACCGUGCCUUAUACCUGUCAAUAGUGCCAUCAGAUCAUUGUUUUAUUUUGAAAACCCAUUUAUUUCUCACAACUUGUUUAUGUCUUGGUCUCAGACAAAGUGACCAAGUGUUGUUAGUUAGCAAUGUAUUAUAUUAUGCAGUCAUGGCAUUCAUCCAAUCCUGGUCCCUUGCAGCUUGUUUAAAGGUUGUUGGUUAAGAUGGUAAAGUAUUAGUGAAAUGAGCUUAAAGAGGAUGUUUGGUGGGAUGAUAAAGGUGAUAAUCUAGAAAAUGCUUUGGUUUGGAAGAGUUUGUCUGAGAUCUAGUUAUAAUUUGUGAUGAAUGAGUUAGGGUAGAGGUGAGGGUUGGUUGUUGGGUAGGAGAGGCAGAAAUUGAGGGUGGCUCAAGAUUAGAGUCUGUAAAUAUAUGGUCAGGUAUAGGUGUAGUGUUGAUAUGAGAAGGGGAAGUAAAAGGUGAAGGUUCAGAAUGAAUAGUGGGUUAUUGGUUAGGACAGACAAGAGUUGUGGUUGGCUUUAGGUUAGGAUCUAGGGAUAUAUAGUCAGGUGUAGUGUUAAUUUGAUGAGGUGAGGUGAGGUAAGGUAUGAAGGUGUAGAAUGAAUUUCUGAAAUAGAUAAAUCAGUAGGCGUGUUGAUAUUGGGUGAAGUUGUGGUAGCAAGAGGAGGUAAAUAGUCAUGAUCUGAAGUGGAUGGAUUGGGAGUAGGAAAACUGGGUAAAGUAGCUAAAACAGGAGAUAGAGUGUUAGAGAUAAUACCUGAUUGUGUGGAAUUUGAAGACGGAGGAGAAUUUUGCUGCAAGGAACGAGUAUUACUGGUUGUAAUCAGUGCAUCCUAAGCAGGGAAGUUCAACUCGUCAAAGACAACAUGUCUGGAUAUAUAAACUUUGUUUGUUUAUGGAUCAAGACACCGAUACCCUUUAUGAUUAGAGCUAUAUCCAAGAAAUACACAUUUUUUUACUUCUAAAAGCAAGUUUAUGUGUAUUAUAAGACCUAAGUAAGGGAAAACAUAAACACCCAAAUGUUUUGAGUAAUGAAUAGUCUGGUUGUUUGUCUAAUGAGUGAGAUAUGGAGUUUGCUGGACAGAAAAGGUGUAGGGAGUUUGUUUAUAAGGUAAGUAGCUGUGAAGAAUGCAUCCACCCAAUAACUGAAAGCUAGAUGUAACUGAGCCAAAAGGGUAAGACCAGUGUUGGUGAUAUAUCUAUGCUUUCUUUUAGAGAUUCCAUUUUGUUCGGAAGUGUAAGGACAUGUGAAUUUAUGAAGAAUGCCAUUUUGUGAAAGGUAUUCCUAGAAAGCAGUAGAUAAAUACUCACCACCAUUGUCAGUUAAUAGUUGUUUGAUAGUGCUUGAAAAUUAGUUUUCAACUAAGCUUUUAAAACGAACAAAGCAGUUAAACACCUCUGAUUUUUGUUUCAAUGUGAACACCCAUGUAAAUCUUGAAAAAUCAUCAAUAAAUAAGACAUUGAAUUUGAAACCACUAACUAACGUGAUAAGAGAAGUUCAUACAUCUGAAUGAAUCAAUUCAAGGAGACGACUAAACCUGUUAUUGAACUCAAAGAAAAGAAGUUUAUGACUCUUAACUACCUGACAUGACUCACACAAGUUGUCGCACGUGUGCGGCGUCGCGGCGGUCACCCACCCUCCAAGAAAAAUGGAAUGAUGUAUUUCUGGCAAAAUAUAAAGAGACAAGGAAUUCUUGUCUCUUAUAAGUGAAACUUUGGAAUGGGAGUCGCCACCUAAUAUCCUGGUUACUAGGAACCCUAACUGGUCUCAGAGAUCGGGUACGGAGACUGGUUGCGUAAAUGGAAGGUAUUAGCACCCCAAAUACGCCCUACCUAAGGUAGGCUGCAUUGUUUUGUCUGAUAAAAUCUAAAGUCGUGUUGUAGUUUCUAAUUGUUGGUCUGUCUAAGGUUCAAGACAAGCCCUCCUUCAGAAGGAGGUUCUUAUCUUAAUGCGGUAAAACAUAAUCGUUUUAUUGUCUGAAAAAUAAUUAAAUAUCCGGAAUACGCAUUACGUGUAAUGUCAUACCCCAGAUACUAACAGAUAAACAAAAUAAAAUUUUUGUUUUUUUUGACAUUUUGGCCAAUGUUCUCUUGACUUUAAUAAACUGGUUAUUAAAGCCAAAAUGCAUGCUAAAACAUUGUUUUUUUUUUUUAUGUAUGAAAAACACAAUAUGAUUUUUUAGCUUUGAGACACUUGGCCAUAUGCACAAAAAUAUAUAUUUUUUUCAAUGUUUUUUGUAUUUUUUGAAAGUUUUGACGCAAACCGGGUAUUUUAAUACCGGAUUUGUAUUUUUACCAUGUAAAAUACUGCCCGAUAUUAAUAAAAAUAACAUAAAAACUACGCGAAAAAAAUAUAUAUAUAUAAAAUGCUGAAACAAAUACUUUCAAUUUUUUCUCUUGAAAUGGGUCGGAUCAGGCCCAAAUACAUGGGCUGGGCCCAGGCCGUGUGAACAAUGCCCUCCACUGUUCACAUGCUACGUGAACAGUGGAGGUGUAGCAGGAACGCAGCAGGAGAAAGAAGAAGGGGAGAAGGGCUGACCUGCGGUGGCUGCAACCGUUGGCUGUGCUACUGGAAGCGACAGGCGGCGGCGCUGGUGGCUGGUGACGCUGUUUUUCUUCUCUCUCUCUCCUCUGUUUUACGUUCUCUUUCUGCUUUUCUCUUCUUCUUCUUUUUUCAGCUUUUCCCCUCUCUUUUCCCUUCUCUCCUCUGCUCUGUAUCUCUCUCUCGGUCUUUCGGUCUCUCUCUUCCCUCUCUUCUCCGUCCUCUUUUUCUUCCCCUUCCCCUGUUUUUAUAGGCAAAAACAGGGGAGGGAGACGUGGCUGGGGCGGCCACUGUGCUACCGCCCCGAACCGCCCAAUGGGUACGUCCCCUUCCUUCUUCCACCACGUGGCAAGCAAGUGGGUUGUCGGCGUCUUUUUGAGAGAGAGCUGGCGGUGGAACAGAAGAAAAAAUCUUCUUCUUCUUCCCCUACUUCGCGUGUCCAGGGGAAGAAGAAGACAUGGGUGCCGUUCAAAACGGCACCGUUUCCAGCCUUUUUAAUAACAGUGCAUGAAACGGCGUCGUUUUUCUCCAAAACGCGCCGUUUCAUUUAAAUGGAUUUUGGCGCCAAAACGCGUCAGAUUCAAAAUCAGGCCUUCAAUUUGCGCGCAUUUUGCAUUUUGGUCCUUGGUCUUGGAUUUCUUCAAUUAAAUCCCUAUUUGGCCAUCAAACUUCAAUAUUUAUGCAAUUAAGCCCAUGAUUUGACCAAAUUAACUCUAAAAAAUUAUAAUUUGACCCCAGAACUUUAAUUUCUUCCAAUUAAAGCCAAAAUUAAAUCCAAAAUCAUUUUUUCUUGCAAUCAAACUCUCCAUAAAUUCAAUUAAACCUUCAAUAAAAUUUAAUUGAGUCCAUAAACAUCUGAUUUUGGACUUUUCUUCCUCAAAUUGAAUUUUCUUUGUCAACAGGGCUCUCACGAGUCAAUAAAAAUACUGUCAAAUUUUAAUCUUUGUAUUUUUAAACCUCCUCAACCAAUUUUUGAUCAUUUUUUAGCAUUCUGGCAUCCUUUUUUCACUGUUAUUAUUUUUUGAUAAUAUUUUCUUAAUUUUUUUUGUAUUUUAUUAUUUUUCAUGCGGGGGCCCAAAAAUGAGUUAUGACAGUUGCCCCCUCUUUACAGUGCUUACGGAGCAAGGAUUUUGCGUAGUAAGUAUUGUAAAGAUAAACAAAAUUGGUCUUCUGAAACUGGUCUUCUCAAAAUUUGGUUGACCUGAAACAUCAACCAAACCCAAAGUCCUGUAUGUGGUUGGGCUAAACUGAGAUUCCUUUCGUCAAUCUUUUUUUACCAAAACUAAAACCGUGUGAAUGGUUAGGAUAGACUGAGAUUCUUUUCGCCAAUCCCCUCUAACCAGAACCAAAAUCGUAUGUGGUUGGGCUAAACUGAGAUUCUUUUCGCCAAUCCCCUCUAACCAGAACCAAAAUCCUAUGUGGUUGGGAUAGACUGAGAUUCCUUUCGCCAAUCCCCUCUAACCAGAACCAAAAUCCUAUAUGGUUAGGAUAGACUGAGAUUCCUUUCGCCAAUCCCCUCUAACCAGAACCAAAACUCCUGUGUGGUUAGGAUAGACUAAGAUUCCUUUCGCUAAUCCCCUCUAACCAAAACCAAAAUCCUACGGGUGGUUAGGAUAGACUGAGAUUCCUUUCGCUAAUCCCCUCUAACCAAAACCAAAAUCCUACGGGUGGUUAGGAUAGACUGAGAUUCCUUUCGCCAAUCCCCUCUAACCAGAACCAAAAUCCUAUGUGGUUAGGAUAGACUGAGAUUCCUUUCGCCAAUCCCCUCUAACCAGAACCAAAAUCCUACGAGUGGUUAGGAUAGACUGAGAUUCCUUUCGCCAAUCCUCUCUAACCAGAACCAAAAUCCUGUGUGGUUAGGAUAGACUCAGAUUCCUUUCGCCAAUCCCCUCUAACCAGAACCAAAAUCCUAUGUGAGGUUAGGAUAAACUAAGAUUCCUUUCGCCAAUCCCCUCUAACCAGAACCAGAACCUAUGGGUGGUUAGGAUAGACUGAAAUUCCUUUCGCCAAUCCCCUCUAACCAGAACCAAAACUCCUGUGUGUUCAAACCCUUUGUUUUUUUGAAGAAAAAUGGUAUAUUUUCACGAGCGACCUGCCCACGUACUCACACUUACCCUGGUCUAUUUUCAUGGGUGAUCUACCCACACAUACUUAAAGUGGUCGAUUUUCAGGGGCGACCAGCCCACACACUCACGCUUUACCCUGGUUUAUUUUCAUGGGCGACCUGCCCAAGUAGAAAAAAGGAAGAGUGGUCUCAUUGUAAUGGGUGACCUACCCAGGUGAAAGAAUGAUCUCAUUGUAAUGGGUGACCUACCCAGAUAAAAAAAACAUGGAGAAUGGUUGAGUUGUAAUGGGUGACCUACCCAAAAAUGGAAAAAGGAAAGAGUGGUCGUGUUGUAAUAGGUGACCUACCCAAGUGGAAGAAUGGUCGUGUUGUAAUGGGUGACCUACCCAAAAUGGAAAAAGGAAAGAGUGGUCGUGUUGUAAUGGGUGACCUACCAAAAUAGAGGAAUGGUCGUGUUGUAACGGGUGACCUACCCAAAAUGGAAAAAGGAAAGAGUGGUCGUGUUGUAAUGGGUGACCUACCAAAAUAGAGGAAUGGUCGUGUUGUAACGGGUGACCUACCCAAAAUGGAAAAAGGAAAGAGUGGUCGUGUUGUAAUGGGUGACCUACCCAAAAUGAAGGAAUGGUCGUGUUGUAACGGGUGACCUACCCAAAAUGGAAAAAGGAAAGAGUGGUCGUGUUGUAAUGGGUGACCUACCCAAAUGGAGGAAUGGUCGUGUUGUAACGGGUGAUCUACCCAAAAUGGAAAAAGGAAACAGUGGUCUUGUUGUAAUGGGUGACCUACCCAAAUGGUGAGGGCUCAAAGGCGCACUCAAAAGGAGAUGGGGUUAGAAAACGCACUACCCAAGUGGUGAGGGCUCAAAGGCGCACUCAAAAAGAGGUCGGGUUAGAAAACGCACUACCCAAGGUGGUGAUGGUGUAACACCAAUCGGUCAAUGAAGGAAACAAUGCAAUAUGACUGAUAUGCAUGUAUACUUACCUGAGAAAUAUAGGUUCCCCAUUUCUGACGCUCAUUUGUUGGUUAUUCGAAGCCUUCCUUGCUUUUCUGUGCCGGCUCAUUCGUGUGCCAACCAUCCAUUCAAUUGUAAAUGCAGUGUUUAUCGUAGGCUAUCCACGUUGCUUUCUGCUCUCGUUGCUUACCAAAUAUGACCGUGCCCCCCAAGUGUGGUGUUGUUUGAUUCAUCAUGAAUGAGCUUAUCCAAUCAUUCAUCUCCUGAGAAAUUGUUCUCUCAUUGAUUGUGCGCAUCAUGUCAACACUCAUCAAAAGGUUUUCUAUUGUCGACCUCAUCUUUAGAUUUGCCAAACAGUUAUGAACUUGCUUCUAGUGGAACCAAUACUCUUCAAGUAUAUGUUAUCAUCAGUUUUCUUGGAAACCAUCCAGUCGUUCAGACAUGCAUCUCAUAGCUUGCAGUAAAAGGCUCAUCAUUGUAUGCUCAAUGUUCUUUUCAACAAAUUCCCCUUAGCUCAUCUAAUCAGAUUGUGAAAAGAAAUAUCUCGGCCUCAUUAAUGAUGUUGCUUUUAUCAUUUAUACUCAGGCGGUAAAGCGUGUCUUUAGCCAGAUGAUGAUAUGAAGAUGUCCUUCCAGUGCACCAUUGUCCCACAAUCAGUCUUGGUGGUGUGCAUCCUUCCGACAUUCAUUCAAAAGCAGUCAUGAUAACAUUAAUCGAUAGCCAUGCUUCAAAGAGUGACGAUUUAAAGAUAUCCGGCAGGUGCAUCUUCGUUCCACAGUCAAUCUUGGUGAUUUGCAUCUUUUCAACAUUCAUUUACAUUCAAUUGUGUUUACAUCGGUUGGUAGUCAUGCUUCCAAGGAUAAACCCAAGAUAAUGAUAUGAAGAUGUCCUUCUAGUGCAGCGUUGUUUCCAAUUGCUGUUGGAGUUCACUAGAUCAUGGAACGUUUUUUAACAAUAUUGUCUUCGGUGUGAUCUGAAUGUGCUCGUUCAAUUUUUUUUUAUCUACAUUAUCCUCCGUUCACCGAUUCUUCAUUUAGUCAUCUUUCUUUGCCCCCCAGCUAAUCUGACUACUGCUUGUUUUUCUUUUUCAGGGUCCACUGUAUUGCCCCCAGGUGGCUCAACUUUUCACGGAGUGUUGAGAAGAGUUGAUGUCAUUUCUGUCAAGGAUUUCGCAAACUCAAUCGAUGUUCUUCUUUGUCUGACAAUCUUCCUUUUGGAAUCAACUCUCACAUUUCAAAGAUCAUGUAUAUUAAAGUCUAGUUUGUUGAAAUGAAAUCAGAGAUGUCUUUGUUUGAAAAAAAUCUUUUUGAAAAAUCAAGCUUUUGGUCAAAGACCCAACAUACGAAUUUCAAAAUAUACAGUCCUUUGAUUGUAAUGUAUUUUGAAAACAGAAAGUGACUCGUUGUAAAAAAUGGCUUUUUCAUGGUUCUUUGUAUCCAUUUUAGAUUCUGCUUUUUUGGGUACAUCUUUUUGAUGGUUUGUGAUGAGGUAACCUUCUGUAUAUUUCAAAAAACAAAAAUGCUCAAGUCAAAACUUGAGGCUUUAUCAAAAAGAUUGUUUCCUUUUUUAGCAUCAAUUUUAUCAGCAUGUAUAAUAACCAAUAGCUUAAUCCAUGAAGCCACGACCCUUAUGGAAAAACUCUUUCAGUUUUGAGAGCGUCAUUUAUCGGUUCAGAUUGCUUACUUGAUCAAAAAGGGCUUUUAGAAGUACGUAAUGUAGGCUAUGGUUUAUGGCUAUGAAAGAACGGAAAUCACAGGCUCAAAAUGUGUUUAAGGGUUUCAACGACCUAGGAUCAAUCUCAACUCCUUUUCUGCCGUUGUCAUGACAUAUAACCAUGUUAACCUCAUCAGAAUUCUCUUAACAGGUGUUAUAAUGCAAAUCCAACUUUUCUUUGAUGAAUGACCAAUCUUGAUCAUUUGUUGGCAUCAGAGGCUUUAUCAUGGAUACUAAAAGUCAUGCUUAUAGCUCAGUAUUUUCUGGUGUUUGACUUUUGUUGUGUCUUCUAACUAUAACAUGAUAAAUUCCAGCACCCAUCUUCACUGCUUUGUCUGGAUGGUAAGGAAAGACUGGCAUCAGUAUUUUCUGCCCCCUAGUCUAUGUCUCCUUUUCUUUUAGCUUUGAUGAAUGACCAAUGUUGAUCAUCAGAGGUUUUAUCAUGGACACUAAAAGUCAUGCUUACAGCUCAGUGUUUUUCUGGUGUUUGACUUUUGGUGUUUGAUGUAUCUUCUAACUAUAAUAUGAUAACUUCCAGCACCCAUCUUCACUAUUUUGUCUGGAUGGUAAGGAAAAAACUAGCAUCAGAAUUUUACGCCCCCUAGUCUAUGCCUCUUUUCCUUUUACCCCUUUGUCAAUUAUUGAACUUUCGUUCUUAACCUUCCCUUUUUAUUGAUUCUAUCAAUGUCUUCCAAAUAUCUCUCGUUUGCCUCCUAGUGUGGGGUAUGAUCCUAGUCAGGUUUUCUCUUGAAAGAAAAUUAGUUUGGCUCAAAUGGGGAUUGCAAAUGAUAUAUUUCAAGACAUGUGAAAGGAUAACAAAGAUGGCCUUUUCUCAUUUCAAGCAAGAUCUGUUAGAACUGAUAAAUUUUGACCUCAUUUAGCGUAAUGCUUUGGACGUGUAAAAGUCUUGAUUCACGAGUCCAUAACUAUUGAAUCCAUUGCGUGUCAUUAUACAUAUUGCUAAAACUUAGCUAUAUGAUGUGUGGUUCAAUUUUGGGGUGUGAGCUCAAGAUUUGUUCGGUCACCUCUUGCCAUUUUAGCGAACCUCAAAUCAUUUCUGGAAUCAUAACACUUUUAAUCAUUCAUGCUUGAUUAGCCUUAAUUUUACGUGUUGGAGUUCAAUCAAAAUAUUUUUACUAAAAUAAACUUUGAAAGAAACAUCUUUUAUUUCAAGACAAUAAUAAGACUAAGAACAAAGCAUAAUCCAUUGAAAGGUGAGAUGUGAUCCCAAAACAAAAUAAGAACAAAGCAUAAUCCAUUGAAAGGUGAGAUGUGAUCCCAAAACAAAAUGAUAGACAACAAAAUUGACAACAAGACACUUCUAAAUAGCUUCUUCAUUAGUCCUCCAUGUCUUGUUGUCGCUCAUUGGUGAUGGCCUUUUGAUGAUAUGAUCGUUGAUAUCUUUCUUCACAAAAUCUGCUCGUCUCUUACUAACCAACUUUUAGGCUUAAUCUUCGAAGCUCUUGCAAUUCUUCACAUCUUCUCUGGAUUAUUCUGUUUAAAGAAUCAUGCCUUGGGGUAAUGAACUAAUGUGCUCUUUUUUCCUCGGUGGCAUAGGUGAACUGGAAUGGGAAGCAUCCAUGGAGUAGACCCUUUCCUAAUUGUAGCAUGUCAAUAUACCCAGUUUUAAAAUUGAAGAACAUCAUAGCAGAAUAAUAUUCUCCCAUCAGCAUAACAUCAGCAUUGCAAAAGGCCAAUGGACUCACAUGGGGUUCUUUCCUUGUCAAAACCCCUAUGUUUACUGAAUGCCUUUUGUUCCAGCGUUUUCUGUCAUGAUCCUUCAUGAUCCAUACUUCCACAAAAUUACUUUCUCUAUCAAUACAGGUCAUGGCGAGCUUUCCUUUGUAUUCGGUAAGUCUGAUAUCUUUGUUGUCAUUUUCCUCAGAGGCUGGGAGGGGCAGUGGGAACAAACAAUGACGCUCUCUUGUUACAUCAAAAGUAAAGACAUUUCUCUUCCAAGUGAGCCAAUGAAGUGAGCCAUUCACGGAUACUUUUGUCAUGCGAUGAAGGGAUUCUUCAUGGGGCAACCUUACUUCAUCCAACAGCUUCCAUUUCCAUGUUGCUGAUUCAAACAACUCGACUCUAAUACAGUGGUACAUAUAGAAUUCUUUAUGUGCGCGAAACUUGGGCUUUGAGAAUCUCACAAUCUUGUACCGUAAAGGUUUUGACCUUUCAAUCAUUAGGCCAAAUUCUAUAGUAUCAUAUCGUGUCUUGGGAUUCGAGAUCUUUUGACAUUGUUGGAUAGAAGGGUCGCACACAUAAUAACAAGAUUUAUUAUGUGUGUGACAAAGCAGAACCCCUUGAUUUGUUGAUGACACUAUCUCCACGUGUUCUGGAAGGAAAUCAAAGGAUAUUUGUGUAUGGGUCUUCAAAGUGUCAGUUGAAACAAAAGAAAUUUGAUAUUCGUUCCUGAUCAUGCUUUGGAUAAGGAAACCAGAGACAAUGUUGGUUCUUUGGCCGUGUAGCUUUGUGAAAAGGGAUUCGUAGGUUAACUUGUUGUACUCCUUAGACAAAAGCCUACAUUUCCCCACAGUCUCCAUUGAUGAGCGUGUCAGUACUUCAUAGAUGGCAUCUCGGCACAGGUCACUAGCUAAGUCCAUUUGACGCAGAGAAUCUUAUUACCACAAGCUGUGUCUCUGGAUUGGAAGCUUGAGCGAAUCUUCCUUGCCACUGUCAGAUGUUGGCAACUCUUGAUUCUGGAGUGGAGGACAAAAUUGGGGGACCUUUAUUUCAAACUGGGAUGAUGUAUGACAAAUGAAAUGAGCAUGUUUCUAUAUGAUGAACUCGCCCUUCGAGGGGUGACACAUGGUCGCGACUCUUGUAUGAUGAAACAAAAAUCUUGAUUCUUGCCCAAACUCUACAAUGGAAAUUUCCCGAGUAACGACCAUUAUGUCACCCGUAAGUCUUGAUUUCAAGAUGCUUCAGGAAAGGCUUGUUUUGAUGCAAAAUAAAGCGUAGGGAGCAUACACCCUAAAGGCAAGUUCUAAAAAUCUUUUAUGUUUGACAAGUGUAGGUUUGUUAUUCAGUAUCUAAAAGGGUCUCUUGUUGUCCCAGUGAUCACCCUCGUGAAGGCAAUAUAGGGGCUCAGUAGGUAAUGAGAUGGCAUAUGGACCAAUCAUUACCAGUCUAAGCACUCAGUGAAGAGUUGGGGUUUACACAAACUUAAACCUUGACUAAAAGUCAAAAGGUAAGUUGCUAGUCCCCUACUUAACCUAGAGUGUUCAAUGUAACUCGUACAAAAAUGCGAAUGAUGCAUGGAGCAAUUUUACAAUGCAUGCAAAUAUGUAUGAAAAUAAAGCGCAUGCGCAAAUAAAGAACUGCAUAUUACCAAUGACAAACAAACCCAACAAUAACACAAAAAUCAGACAAAACAAAGCUUAGUCCAUAAGGUCCCCAGUGGAGUCGCCAUUCUGUCGCACGUGUGCGGCGUCGCGGCGGUCACCCACCCUCCAGGAAAAAUGGAAUGAUGUAUUUCUGGCAAAAUAUGAAGAGACAAGGAAUUCUUGUCUCUUAUCAGUGAAACUUUGGAAUGGGAGUCGCCACCUAAUAUCCUGGUUACUAGGAACCCUAACUGGUCUCAGAGAUCGGGUACGGAGACUGGUUGCGUAAAUGGAAGGUAUUAGCACCCCAAAUACGCCCAACCUAAGGUAGGCUGCAUUGUUUUGUCUGAUAAAAUCUAAAGUCGUGUUGUGGUUUCUAAUUGUUGGUCUGUCUAAGGUUCAAGACAAGCCCUCCUUCAGAAGGAGGUUCUUAUCUUAAUGCGGUAAAACCUAACCGUUCUAUUGUUUGAAAAAUAAUUAAAUAUCCGGAAUACGCAUUACGUGUAAUGUCAUACCCCAGAUACUAACAGAUAAACAAAAUAAAAUUUUUGUUGUUUUUGACAUUUUAGCCAAUGUUCUCUUGACUUUAAUAAACUGGUUAUUAAAGCCAAAAUGCAUGCUAAAACAUUGUUUUUUUUUUUAUGUAUGAAAAACACAAUAUGAUUUUUUAGCUUUGAGACACUUGGCCGUAUGCACAAAAAUAUAUAUUUUUUUCAAUGUUUUUUGUAUUUUUUGAAAGUUUUGACGCAAACCGGGUAUUUUAAUACCGGAUUUGUAUUUUUACCAUGUAAAAUACUGCCCGAUAUUAAUAAAAAUAACAUAAAAACUACGCGAAAAAAAAAUAUAUAUAAAAUGCUGAAACAAAUACUUUCAAUUUUUUCUCUUGAAAUGGGUCGGAUCAGGCCCAAAUACAUGGGCUGGGCCGAACCUGGCCCAAAUACAUGGGCUGGGCCCAGGCCGUGUGAACAAUGCCCUCCACUGUUCACAUGCUAUGUGAACAGUGGAGGUGUAGCAGGAACGCAGCAGGAGAAAGAAGAAGGGGAGAAGGGCUGACUUGCGGUGGCUGCAACCGUUGGCUGUGCUACUGGAAGCGACAGGCGGCGGCGCUGGUGGCCGGUGACGCUGUUUUUCUUCUAUCUCUCUCCUCUGUUUUACGUUCUCUUUCUGCUUUUCUCUUCUUCUUUUUUUUUCGGCUUUUCCCCUCUCUUUUCUCUUCUCUCCUCUGCUCUGUAUCUCUCUCUCGGUCUUUCGGUCUCUCUCUUCCCUCUCUUCUCCGUCCUCUUUUCUUCCCCUUCCCCUGUUUUUAUAGGCAAAAACAGGGGAGGGAGACGUGGCUGGGGCGGCCACUGUGCUGCCGCCCCGAACCGCCCAAGGGGUACAUCCCCUUCCUUCUUCCACCACGUGGCAAGCAAGUGGGUUGUCGGCGUCUUUUUGAGAGAGAGCUGGCGGUGGAACAGAAGAAAAAAUCUUCUUCUUCUUCCCCUGCUUCGUGUGUCCUGGGGAAGAAGAAGACAUGGGUGCCGUUCAAAACGACACCGUUUCCAGCCUUUCUCUUUUUUUUUUAAUAACAGUGCAUGAAACGACGUCGUUUUUUCUCAAAACGCGUCGUUUCAUUUAAAUGGAUUUUGGCGCCAAAACGCGUCAGAUUCAAAAUCAGGCCUUCAAUUUGCGCGCGUUUUGCAUUUUGGUCCUUGGUCUUGGAUUUCUUCAAUUAAGUCCCUAUUUAGCCAUCAAACUUCAAUAUUUAUGCAAUUAAGCCCCUGAUUUGACCAAAUUAACUCUAAAAAAUUAUAAUUUGACCCCAGAACUUUAAUUUCUUCCAAUUAAAGCCAAAAUUAAAUCCAAAAUCAAUGUUUCUUGCAAUAAAACUCUCCAUAAAUUCAAUUAAACCUUUAAUAAAAUUUAAUUGAGUCCAUAAACAUCUGAUUUUGGACUUUUCUUCCUCAAAUUGAAUUUUCUUUGUCAACAGGGCUCUGACGAGUCAAUAAAAAUACUGUCAAAUUUUAAUCUUUGUAUUUUUAAACCUCCUCAACCAAUUUUUGAUCAUUUUUUAGCAUUCUGGCAUCCUUUUUUCACUGUUAUUAUUUUUUGAUAAUAUUUUCUUAAUUUUUUUUGUAUUUUAUUAUUUUUCAUGCGGGGGCCCAAAAAUGGGUUAUGACACAAGUUCUGAGAUUUUGUUUUAUCCAGAAACAGGUAUUAACGAGUUUUUCACUAAACUAGAAAUAAUGGUGUAUGACGGGUGACCCAAUCAUGAAUGUCAGACUUGAAAAGAAGCAGUAACACCUAGGAGUGAAGUAAAAGGGGAGAGCAUGGCAGCUUUGGGAGAUGACUUGUUGAAUUUGAGUUGCUGCAGGAACAUUGGAUAUAAACCAGCUUUACUUGGCCUUUGAAGGAAAAUUUCAUUGGUCUGUAGAUCCUUUAUAAAGAAAUGGGUUGUUGUAAGCAUAAAAUAAUAGUUGUUGUCAAAGCAAAAAUGUUGAAUAGAUAAUAGAUUUGAUAAAGUAGAUGGACAGUGAAGAAUAUUGGUUAAAAGAAAUUGUGAUUUAGGUGUAGCAAGCAUAGAGGAACCAAUAUUGGUGAUAUGUAAACCUCCUUCAUUGCCAACUGUUACUUUGUCAUUUCCAUGAUAUGGUUGUUGGUGCAAGGUUAAAUUCUGGAGUUCAGAGGUGAUGUGACUAUUAGCACCACUGUCAAGGUACUAUGGCUAAUCAAAUCCUUGUUCCUCUUGAGUAUGAGCUGUCAUUGCUGCCAAUUGAGCAGGGGGGAUGCCUUCCUUGAUAAGAAAAAUCCAUGUGGUGAUAACAAUCAAGAGCCUGAUGAUUUGUCUUUCCACAUAUCUAACAAGAAGGGAAUUGUUUUGGAACUCUGGUGGAUUGUGUUUUAGAGUCGGGGGCAGAAAAGAUUGGAUUAGGAUUGGAUCUUGCAUGGUGGUGAUUUUUCUGAGUGGGAAAUCUUGAUUUCUUAUUGGUUGGUUUGUGUUUUGGGGUAAAAAAGGCCAAUUGAGUAAUCUCAGAUGACUGAGAUUUGUUUUGUGCUUCAAGUAGUUGCUCAUAGUUAAAUAGUUUAGCUUGAAAAGCAUCAAAGAAGAUUGGUUGGUCUCGAGUAGCAAAGCUGAGGAAGGCGAUAAAAGGGGUGAAGAUAGGAUUUAGUCCACCAAUAAUAUAUGAGAUAAGGUCUUCAUUGUCAACUGGUUUUGCUACAGCUGAAAGUUGGUGAGACAAAUGUUUUGCUGUAAGCAAAUUAUCAGAGCAACAUUUGUUACCUUGCUGCAGAGUUUGGAGUUCUCUUUUGAGAUGAAUGAUUCUUGAACGAGAUUGAGGAGCAAAUCUGGUAUCAAGAGCAUUCCAAACCUGUGUAGAUGUAGUGAGUCCAUACACGGUGGAAAAGACUUUCUCAUCUAGGGUGGCAUUUAACCAUGCCAAAAUAAAUUGAUCCUUCUUCUGCCAAACUAGGUAUGUUGGAUUAAUAUCAUAGGUUAGUUUGCCAAUGGAGUCAACAAGGAAUUGAGAAGGACAAGCCUCAGAGCCAUCAAUAAUGCUCAAGAGGUCAUGGCUUUUCAAGGCUGGUAUGAACUGAGUUGUCCAGUUCAGGUAAUUGUGUCCUUCAAGUUUGAUAGACACUAAAGAGGUGAUAUUAGGGAUGAAAAAUGAGGGUGAUGUAAAGAAAGAGGCCAUAAUGGAUUAAGAGAAAAUGUGAGCUUUGUUUGCUCUGAUACCAAGUUAUAAGACUAAAAUAAAGUGUGGAGAAGCUAAAUGAAUGAUCAGCCUAGUAUGCAUUGUAUUUAUAGGUAGUAUACAGUUAUUUGAGUUUUCAAAGAAGAGAUAAGAACACACUGAGAUAACAAGCUAAACAUACAUCUUUAUCUUGAGAUAAUCAUGAUCUCAUAUGUUACUAACAAAGCUUAACAGAAGGUAGAGAUAAACAUGAUCUCAUCUGUUACUAACAAGACUAACAUAAGGUUUAUCACUAACAUUAUUUAUGUCUGAUGGCUUGAGUUUAGAUGUACUGUGGAUAAAUAAUCUGAUAUGAUUUUGUUGUAAAAAAAAUCAUAAUAAUAACACUAUAUCUCUAUUUAUCACAUUGAUCAAUUAUAAUCGUCAUAAAAUAUUUACUAGAGUAGUGCCCCACUGCGACUGCUCGAAAAGUAUUUGCUCUACUUAUACUCCACAAUUCAUGUGGUUGAUGUUGAAGAAAUAAUUUAUCACAAAGUUGUUAAGCAAUGUGCAACCAAGUCUCAACAUGUACAUUUUCUAAAGGUUCUCCUAACCAUUACUUCAAGACUGACACUUAAUGUUGCCACGAUCAUACAUUUUAUGUUUUCAAUUGCAUCAUAGCAAUACAUCAACACAAACUAAUAGUAAUUUCUAUGACUUGUUUUCCUAAAGGUGUUCAUCAUGGCAAGUUCUUUCAUGGUUCUCUCUUUUUCUAUGACCGAACAUUGGUGUCCAUUUUCUCCCUAGUUUGCACAUGUAAUUCGUCAUUUUUAUCACAAGUAUGUUCACAAUAACAUGUCAUAAUCACACAUCCAUUUACUUGGUAAAUAAUCAUACAAGUUCAUUCAUCACACAAACAAACUUAAGGCAUUAAUCAUGGCAUCAUUUUCGAUUCAGCUCAAGCAUUCCUUUAAGGAUUUAAUAAGAUCAUAAUUUUGCACAUUCUUUCAUUUCAUUUCACUUUCAUAAAAGUUCUUCAAUUAUAUAUGCACAAUUAAUACAUUAACUUAAACAUGAAUUUUGCUUCAGCUCAAGCAUGUUUCUAUGAGUUUAAUAAGGUUACAGUUACACAUUUUAUCACUUCAUUUCAUCUCCUUUCAUUAUCUCAACUGGCCAGUCCUUAGUUAAGGUUUGUUCAUCCAUAUGCACCCAUUUCUUUUGUUAAAGGUUCUAGAAUUAUAUCCCUUUUCAGCCCCAUUUUCUUCAAUCUUCUUGUCUAAUCUUUGCUAAUCCAUAGGUGUAAGAACCCUAAGUCUUUCCCUUGAGGUUUCCUUCUCCAUUUUGUCCCAAAAUCUUAAAGAAACAAGUAAGGAAGUGAUGUUAUUCUUACCACAUGAUUUUAAGCAGCCUUAGGGGAGGUUUUAGUUAGGUUUCUUCCUCUUUUCUCUUGGUUUCUUUUUUCUUCCUUUUAUUGUUCCAGUCGGCUCUCUAGGCUCUUUCUUCUUCCUUGUUCUUGGUUUUUUCUCCUUUCUCUAACUCUCCAUUCACUCAAAACUGAAGAGAAAUGGCAGGCAAGCUGGUUUAGUUAGGUUUUCUUCUUAUGAAGGGGUGGUUGGUGUAGCUAAGGCUGCUGCUGGUUUUGGGGGAGAGGUAGAGUCAUCUCUUUUUCUCCCUUUUGUAUUUACAUCACUCAUAAAUGUGAUGGGGUGUUUGGGGGCUAGUUAACCUUGUUCUUAUUCCUUUUUUGGUUGAUCUAGGCCUGGUUUUCUCCUUCCCCAAUUCCUCCCUAGAAUAGGCCGGUUUGUUUCCCUUAAUUCUUAACUAGCAUAGGUCGGCCUAUUACUAUUUUUUGUUGGGUUUUACAUGCCCAACAUAGAUGGAAAAUCUAUCAAAUGGAUAUCAAAUUAGCUUUUCUAAAUGGUUUUCUUGAAAAGGAGGUUUGCAUUGAGCAACCUAUGGGUUAUGAUGUGAAGUGACAUGAAGACAAGGUUUUAAAGUUAAACAAAGCCUUGUAUGGAUUAAAGCAAGCCCUAAAGGCUUGGUAUAGUCGCAUUAAUGGUUAUUUCUUAAAGGUUGGAUUUGUAUAAUUCCCAUAUAAAUAUGUUAUUUAUGUAAAGAUAAAAGAGAGUGAUGAUACUCUUAUUAUAUGCUUGUAUGUGGAUGACUUGAUCUUUACAGGAAAUGAUCCAAAGAUAUUUGGAGACUUUAAACAAGCAAUGAUUAAGGAGUUUGAGAUGAUGAAUAUUGGUUUUAUGACAUACUACUUAGGGAUUGAGAUCAAGCAAGGAAAAGAUGGAAUUUUUGUGAAUUAAAAGAAGUUUUCAAAAAAGAUUCUCAAAGAGUUCAAAAUGAAGGAUUGUGCAAGAGUACUCUAGUUGAGUGUGGAGUGAAGUUGUCAAAGAAUGAUGAAGAAGAGAAGGUAAACUUUACAAUAUUCAAGAGCCUAGUUGGGAGUUUAACAUAGUUGACAUGGACUUGUCCAAUUUGGAGUAGGACUUAUAAGCAGGUUUAUGGAUACACUAACUAUGAUAAAUUUCAAAACUUUGAAGCAAAUUCUUUAGUACAUUAAAGAUAUUGUUGAUUUUGGCAUGUUCUAUGGAUAUUCUAAUAGCUUUGAACUUAUAGGCUAUAAUGAUAGUGAUUAGGCUAAAGAUAUGGAUGAUAGAAAGAGCACUACGAGUUUUGUCUUCUACAUGGUAGAUACAACUAUAACAUCCCUUGUUCCGGGAUAAAAACAACAAUCUCAUGUCCAUCAAAAAAAAAAGUAGUUAAAUUUUUUUUUUCUAUAUCUAUUCAUGGUGUUUGUAUUAAAGUCUACCGAAAUUUCGACGGAGUCUCCCCUAUACCGAGAGGUCCCAAGUUAUUGACAUUUAACCUGUUUACACUUCUAAUAACUCGUAUCACCUAACUCAAUCCCGACCCUAUCAUCCUGGGUCUUAAUCCCAUAAACAUCAUCAUACAUAUCAAGCACAAUAUUUAUGAUAUACAUGAUAUAACAAAUAUCAUUAUGGAUGGAUAAAAAUAUAAAUACGCAUACAUGGAAUGUGGUUAUAUGAACUACAAAGUUAAGUUCAUUUAAUCAAAUUUAAACAUUAAUUAUACAAAUUAAGUUAUACAAACAUUUUCAUGUUUACAAAAUACAAGGGUAUACUCCCUAGAACCUAGAUUACAAGAAAUGAACAUAAGCUAGAAUCUACUCCUGUCGUGCAUGUGAUGGUCCUGAAACAAGAUACAUAUUAUUGAACAUGAAUAUCAUAAUAAAUAUAACAAUACAAAUAUCUAACAAUUUAUAAAGGGCAACAUGCAUUCAUAUUUUGUUCACUUCUCCCUUCUGGCUUUAAUUAGAAUCUCUUCUUGUUCAACUACUAAAAACCGUUUCCCCUCCCAUUAUCAACUUCCAUUUCCAGACUUUAUAAGAUCAAUCAUGAUUAUUUCUGCUUAACACAAUACCGAUACCAAUUUCACUGGUAUCAACAUCAUCACCCCGUAGGAGUCGAUGCAAGGUGAUCCCCUUACCUGGGAUCCUAACAUACACUAAAUGUAUGCUAGUCAAUACAUGGUUGAUCCCCUUACCCGAGAUCAUAACAUACACUAAAUGUAUGCUAGCCAAUACAUGGUGAUCCCCUUACAGGAGAUCUAACAUACACUAAAUGUAUGCUAGUCAAUACAUGGUUGAUUCCCUUACCCGGAAUCCUAACAUACACUAAAUGUAUACUAGUCCAAACAUGGCGAUCCCCUUACCCGGGAUCUUAACAUGCACUAAAUAUAUGUUAGUUCACGCCCCAAAUCACACUUCUCACAUUUCCAUUGUCAUCGAUAAUUUCAUUACUCGACAAUUCACACAACAACCAUUCACCUAAUAUCCAAUAUUCUGUAAUUCACAUAUCACAUUGGUAACAUAUUAAAUCAUGGAAUUUAACUAGAAAGUAUAGGUGCAAUUUACCUACCUGCAAUAGAAGCUCUACUUGUGCUCCCCUGUUGCUGUCGUUGCCCCAUGCUUGUGGUCCCUCUUGCAAAUCACAGGUUUAUCUCAUAAAUUUUCCUCACUCAAGGAUUUGUUUUAAAAUAACAAUAUCAACAGCCAAUAAGUCUUUAUUUCAGUCAUUUCUUAAUAUUUGAAUUGUUACUGUUUAAACCUUAAAUUGUUACUGUCUGACCUCUCCUCAGAUUUUUAACUAUAUCUAGAGUUAUAGAACUCCAUUUCAAGUGAGAUUGGUCUCGUUGGAAAGCUAAGACACGAGGCUACAAGUUCUCUGAAGAAAGGAGAACCCAGUUCUACCUCUAAGACAAUCAAAAUUGCUCAUCAACAAACAUUGGAUUGUUACUGUCUUGAGAUUGAACUGUUACUGUCCGACCUCUCCUCAGAUUUUUAAUUAUAUCUAGAGUUAUAAAACUCAAUUUCAAGCGAGAUUGGUCUCGUUGGAAAGCUAAGACACGAGGCUACAAGUUCUAGAAAGAAAGAGAACCUAGUUCUGCCUCUAAGACAGUCAAAAUUGCUCAUCAACAAACAUUGGAUUGUUACUGUCCAACUGUUACUGUCUUGAUAUUGAACUGUUACUGUCCGACCUCUCCUUAGAUUUUUAACUAUAUCUAGAGUUAUAGAACUCCAUUUCAAGCGAGAUUGGUCUUGUUGGAAAGCUAAGACACGAGGCUACAAGUUCUUUGAAGGAAGGAGAACCUAGUUCUGCCUCUAAGACAAUCAAAAUUGCUCAUCAACAAACAUUACCUACUGCCCUAUAGGGUUUGUCAUGACCCAAUCUCGGUUGGUGACCCAUAGCUGGAGUUCUAUAACUCCAAAUUGAGCAAGACUAAUUUCCUUAGUUAGUCAACAUACAUGCAUCAAUUUAUAAUCGACUUUGAAAUGACUCAUAUGACCAUGUUUAGAACACCUUACCCGGUAAGAAUCAAAGUUUCGAUCUUCAACUCCCUUCUUCUCUUUCAAAUGACAGCCGACCCUCCCCUCUUCUCUUCUUGUUCAGAUUUUCUUGUUAAUCUCUUGCCCACCAAUGUUUAUUCUAUAACCCAUAAUCUUGGAUGAGUUCUUGAAAUUUUAGUGUUUCUCUCUUGAUUUGCAAAAAUGAAUACAAAAACUCUCUUUUCUUACCUUAUGUUUGCUGUAGAUUUUUGGUGAGAAGAAGAAUAUUUAUGCUCUAUAAUUAUUCUUAUUUGCAUUUAAGCCCCAUUUUCUUUAAGUGUAUCAUUUUUGCCCCCAUAUUUUUUUUUCUUCUUAUAAUUAAGUUGUACCUCUUUUCUUUUCUUAUAAUUUCACCCCACAACUUUUAGUUUAGUUUAUUUUUUUUAAUUUAAUCCAGCCUUGAUUUUUUUCACUAAACCACUCAAACAUGAUGUUUUUGCCAAGAUGAGAGAUAUGCUAGGAGUUAAAAAUCAAGUUCAGGGGAGGAUGUUAAAAGUAAACCAAAUUUCAGUUUUUUUGAAAAAUAGAGGAACUGGUCGACUGGUUGAAUUAAAUAUAUUGGUCAACCGUUUAAGUCAAUGGAAUAUGUUUACUGUUCAAAUUAAGAUUUCUUUUAAGCAGUUUAAUUUUUUAUUUGUCUAGGACUUGAAGCCUAUAAAUAGAUUUGUAAUCAUAAGCAUAAUUUAAUAUAUGUAGAGAGGAAUACAAGAGAUGAAAAACACGUGUGUGCAUUUUAUGCAUAAUGUGAAAUACAUAAUUAGAAUGCUUAUUGAGUAAAGAUAAUUAAUAUGUAACCUUUUUUUUCCUUGAAAUACUUGUUUUCAAGUUGUAGCAUGUACCAAGUCACAUUGUGCCUUAAUGUUUUUUCUUAUUUUAUGCAGAUUGAAGGCUAAUGUUGAGGAACGUGUUGGUCUUUGCAACAACAUUAUGCUUGCAACCUAUUACGAGGAUAGCUUAAAGAUUUAUCUGAGAGUUUAGAAGUGUAGUAGCAGUUGUUUUUUAAAGUAUUUUUUGCUCGAAAAUAUAUUUAAAUAUAUUUUUUAUUUUUUAAAAAUCAUUUUUGAUAUCAGCACAUCAAAACAAUUCAAAAACAUAAAAAAAAAAGUAAUUUUAAAUAAUGUUUUUUUUUAAAUUUACUAAAUUCUAUUUAGAACACAUACCAAACGGAUACACGAGUCAUUGAAAAAACUUGUCAUCUUGCGUAGAGAGGAGGGUACAUAUUCAGACAUCAUUGACACCCAUAUAAAUUUUUUUUUCCAACACUAGUUUCCAGACAAAUGUUUUUAGGUUUACUUUUAACACGCAACUCGCUAGCUCUGCUACCAAUUCAGGAUUUUUAAUUAGUAAGAUUUUAUUAUCACACUUUUAUUUGGCACUGGUUUGGUUACGAGGACUAAAAAAUAUGAAUGAGGAUAAGGUCUUUACUCCCAUUUUCAAUGAGGUUGAGAGUGGUACUAUGAUUGAAAGGGGAAUGUAAGUUAAAUUGUAUUACCUUGAAAGAUGAUCAAUGUUUACCUCUCUUCUGCUACCAUCGCCAUUGUUUUCAACAGGUUGUCAACGUGUGCUUGUGUUUUUUGUAAUUGUGCUUACAGAGAGAUCAGUUAACCUUUGGAGGUCACGUAACAGAUGGUGAGCAAACCGCCAUUUUAGCAAGGGAAAGCUAGCAUCAGAUAUAGCUACAGGAAACUUUUAUUUAUUUGUUUGUUUAUUUAUUACUAUUUGAAGGUCCCCCCAUAUGCAUCCCAAGGAGUACAAUGGUUUGGAUGAUGCACCCUAGUCCUUAAUGAAUGAUCAGAUCUCCUUGAAACAUCGACCGAGGUCAAGGGUGGAGCCAUGUUGAAGGCUUGGGUGUGCUAUAGCCCAUGUCAAGAUUUUAAUCCAUUAAUAUAUUAAAAUAUUGAUAAAGGCUUAGGCGUAAUAGAUUUACUAUUGAAGGCUUGGGUGCAAUAGAUGAUCAUGCCAUAUAUUGAUAGAUUAAAAUGAAAGGGGAGAGCUCUCAGCAUUUUUUCCCGGCUGUGAGCCUGGUUUGUAGCAGAGGAGUGAGAAGCUCUGGUUUGUAGUGAGAGAAAGGACUCGCGUUCAGUUGUGAGCAUUCGUUUCAUCUCACUAUACAACAUUUUCUUCUCCUGACCUCUGUCCUCUUCACGGCUCUUCUUUGGUUAACACCACUGGACUCCUUCUCAGCGUUGUUCGCCCUGUGUGAGCGGUGUGUUUUUCUGGCACGAUGUAAGUGUAUUCUCUUGAUAAUCAUGGGUUUGUGUGAGGUCCUUUGAAUUGCAGGCAUAACUUAUGAGAAAAUCUAAGAAGAAAUCAUUGUUGCUUCGUGAUGCCCAGUCGGAUGGUCCUUGUCUCACACCACGACCAUCCCCUGCUGACAAUCGCAACUCUCGAUCUCAUCUUGGGGGCUCCCCCAUAUCAACCCUUGUUUUUCCAAAAAAGGCUCUAGGGGGUUUUUCUCCUCAUCCUCAUGUUUCUCAGGUACCAGUCACUAACGAGGUUUCUUUCACUGAAACCCUAGAUUAUAUGAACAAUGUUGUUCCUGGGUCCUCUUCUGUGGUCGGGGUAGAAAGGCAAGCUUUGGAUGGUUGUCCUGGGUCACUCGCAGGACACAACAUGAAUGUUUCCCAACAGGCUCUUGUUGUUGCUGGUCCCCAACCAUCCUCAUCAAGUUUUCGGUUGCCACUGGCUGGUGGAGUCAAUGGGCAUUCUUCUGGCGUUGUUCCCCCUGAUGGUUCUGGACAGGGUCCGCCCCCCUCCAGCUCCCCCCCCCCAGGUAUUGCUUUAUCUAUUGUUGAUGAAGAUUGCCCUAGGGUCACUACAUUGCCCACCACUGCCUUUGGCCCUGACCUUACUCAUGUUUGUUAAUUUCAUAAUUCUGAUGUAUGUUCUCUGUUACCUGAAGAUUUUGGUGAACUUAGAGACAUCUGGAAAUUGUGUUUAAUUGGAUAUUCAAUUAGUAAAACUCCUGGUUAUACUAUUCUUGGGAAAUUCAUGGCAAAUGUAUGGAAAUGCAAUGCCACUCUACACAUCCAUGAUUCAGGCUGGCUGGUCUUCAACUUCUCUUCUGAAGCUGAUAUGGGCAAAGUGCUUCGCAGAGGCCCUUACUUUGUUCAUGGUAAACCACUAGUACUUAAGCCGAUGCCUCUUUACUUUGAUUUUGGCAAACCAGAUAUGUCGUCUGUUUCGGUCUAGGUUCGUCUCCCAAACCUUCCACUGGAAUGCUAGUCACUGGUGUGCUUGUCAAAGAUUAGCAGUGUUAUUGGCAAACCUAUUCGAUGUGAUGACCUCACUCUCUCCAUGUCUCGGGUGUCCUUUGCCAGAGUCAUGAUAGAAGUGGAUCUGUUUGUAGACUUGCCUCGUUCUAUCAGCCUCUCCAUGCCAGAUGGAACUAUUAUUAAGCAAAGGGUCAUCUAUAAAUACAAGCCACGAUUCUGCUCCAUUUGUUGUAUGCCUGGCCAUACCAGCAAUGUAUGUCAGAAGCUUAACUCUAGCGCUGAGGAUACUUCUGCUUCUGGGAUGAUAAAGCGACCAUCUGCCUCUCCCCCUAGUUCUUCUGCUGAAGAUAUUGGUCAGCCCACAGGGGACCGAUGGCCCAAUCCUGUAGGGGUGGUAUCUGAGAGUCGAGAAGCUAUUCAGGGAGGGGGGUGAAGCCCAAGCUAUCUCCUCAACAUGAUACAUCACCCCAGCAUGAAUAUAAUGUUAUUGGUUCCUUUGAACCAGCUGGAAUUCUCGCUUGAAGACAGCUAGUCAUCCACCUAUUGCUGGUACUUAUUGUAGCUAAUCUGUGUUUUGUUCCUAUAAUGUGGUUCUGGGUUGAUGAGCUUGGAUGUCUGGCUUGAAUUGGAUAUUGGUUAAUUGUUCUGGUUUUGGAGCUUCUAGUAAUCUGUUUGUUCUAAUGCUUCUCUGCUUGUAGAGGCAUUCUGUUAUGCCAAGUCCUUGGUUGGUGUGGUUUCUGCAAUGGUCUUUGAAGGUGUGUUGGUUGAGUUCUUCUUUAGCCUGGGUUGCUGCAAGGUGUAUGCUGGUGUGUCAGCCUCUUCCUGGUGGUUGUUGGUGCUAUUCGGGCUGUUUCUUGGUGUUUGGCCGUGCUGGCAUUUUAGGGUCUCUAGUUGCAGUUUAUGCUCUGCUAUGGUUUAGGUUGUUUAUGAUGGGAUUUAUGUCUCCAAGGAGUUUGUUCCUUGUUUUCGUAUAUGUCUUCUCUAUUUGCAGGUUACACUCUACUAUGGUUUAGGUUGUUUAUUUUGGGAUUUAUGUCUCCAAGGAAUUUGUUCCAUGUUUUUGUAUAUGCUUAUACAGUUGACCUGCUGGUUUCCAGCGCUGUUUCAUUUUGAUAUAUUAAUACACUUAUAUUUUGAUAAAAAAAAUAAAAAAAAGAAAGGGAAGCUCUUAGCAUAUUUUAUGACGAUUUACAUUGAACAAGAGCUUGCUUAAGAUAUCUGUAAACCCUCUAGGCAAAAAUCAUAAAAUUAACUAGUUUUAUAUAAAAAUAAAUUUGUAAUUCUCGAUCGGGUUAUCAGAAAAUUUACGUGGAGCCUUCUAAUAUGAUACUUUAGCUUGGGUUAAAAUUUCAGAAUUUUUGGAGAAAUUCAGAAAUUUGAUUAAAAUCACAAUUUGACCAGUUUUAUGUUAUUGAGCAUAAUUUUCAAUCUGACCAUCAGAUUGAGCUGAAAUUUGAUGAGAAACCUUAAAAUAUAUUGAAUAAAAUCUAGUUAAAAUUUUAGGACAAACGGAGCUUGGUAGUGCUAACAAAAAAAAUAAGGAUCGUUAAAUAGAAGCAAAAAGACUCAUUAAGGGUAAAAUGAUUAUUUUCCCUUAAAAAAUAAACAAAUCAGUUCUUACUUCCUUUUAUAUGUUGCCAACUGGGCAAAAGCAGAAUUGAAAAAGAAAAAAAAGAAAAGGCGAGAGAGAAAAGAAAAGGAAAAACAUAUAAAAAAAUCCAAAUAAAAAAAGUGAAAGAAUAACCUUGUAAACUUACAAAAUCCAACAUAUAAAACACUAAUUUAAAGAAAAAUCAAGUGAAGGAAAGAGGAAUUAAGAGAAAUAAAAAAUUUAAUUACUUUGUUUUCCAGUUAACAUGAUACUGUUAUUUUAUCCCGGUUGAAGGGUUAUUAUAAUAUCAAUUCAAAUUUGAUUAUAGAUAAAUUAUAUUUCACAAAAUAUCAAAGAAUAUAACUUUAAUUAUGGGUUUUAUUUUGACUUUCACCUUAAUUUUAUAUACUUUUAAAUUUAUUUUUUAAUAUUUUAAAUAAUGUAUUUAAAUUAAAACUUUAUUUUUAACUUUAUAAAUUCUUGUAUAAUUAAUAUUGAAAAUACAAUUUUUAUAUUUUUUUAGUAAUCUAUCGUCCUGGACCGAGGUUGUGCUUCAAGUGCCAAUUUACUAUGUUUUGAAAUCAUUAGAGCAAAUAAGUAAUCCAGAUACACAUUCUACAAAAUUCUUCAAAAUUAUUUAUUAUCUUUCACAGGAUAUUGCGCUUGGCAAAACCUUUUAAGGUGGUCUACAUGAUUGUUCCUGCUGUUGCAAAGGAGGCUAAAACGAUCAUUUGAAUGCAACAAAGCCUCUCUGCCUUUUAAGGUUGUUUUUUAGGAUAAUAAUAGCAUCACAAGUUAAUGAAACUUUGUGAAGAAUUAAGAGCAUGGCAUGCUGCAAUGCUACACAGAAGGGUUUAUGUUGUGGCUGCUAACUAUAUGGUUUUUCUCCUUCAUGUUUCCACCAGUAAUGAAAAUGCAUGGAGAUCUCCUUGAAACAUCGACCGAUGUUGUGUUUCAAGUGCCAAUUUACCAUGUUUUGAAAUCAUUAGAGCAAAAAUAUGAUAGCCAAGAACUCGAUUUAGAACCUUAUAGCAACUAAAUUUGGAUCGUUUUCUUCUCCUCUGUUUUGUUGCUCUUAUUUGCAACAGGCGACUGGAAGCUUUAAACUUACAAAACAGCAUGUGCACUUCAUAUGCAUGGGAAAGACUUCAGGCAUAUUACAAAGGCUUACGCUACCUUACAAAAGGAAAGUGAUAGGGACUUGUUGAAGUUUUCUGAAACAGCAUAAAGAGCAAUCCAUCGAGCUACACUUGCAAUUCCAAGGAAGAAGAGAGCAACAUUCCUUUCAAGCUGGCAAUCCCUACAUUAUCUCAGUCCAAACAUAGCUGGGAUACUACUCCAGUAGUUAGUUAUACCUGAAUGGCUAUUCAAAGCUAGACACAGAUCGGGGGUUUAAUUUGCCACACACAGUUGGCAUCAAAAGACCUAGUAUUAGGGACACAAUAAACAUAGUAUAAACUAACCCCCAGGUGAUCUGUCUCUUCAAAAUACAAAACAGGGACAAUCCAUCUAUUCUAUGAUCCAUCUACCCUUGCGAAGGAAUUCCCAGUACCUAGUCAACAUGUGAUCCUCUGGCACCACCCUGUCCCACCUCCCUGUGCAGAAUAUUGCAUAUGCAUCAGCGGCAUACCUGAACAAUCAGACAAGAAAUUCAAAUGAGCCAGAUCAGUUUGGAAAAACCAUCAAUGCAAAUAGCUAUAGGAGACAGCGAAGUGAACAGAAAUUUCCCUACUUUCCAACACCAGGCAGAAAGGUGACAUGGGUCCAGUCCUCUUGCAAGUAAAUCUCAGAAAGGCGUUUUAUCUUCUCAGCCCUCGUGUUUUUGAAACCUAAACUGCGUGUUAGCUGGGCAAUCUCGUUCUGGUCAACAUUAGUGGUGGUCUUUGCAUCAGGACAUAGGGU